GACUACAAGGCUUCGGCAAACCGUCGGUGCAUUUUCUGAUUUCCAGCACAAAAACCUUUGAGCUUCUAUUAAUCAAUCAGCGUUGUCUUCUAUUAUUCUCGACUUCUAUAGCGAAUUGCGUCAGACAGUUAGUUGUUCAUGCCCAUCGCAGCUCCUCUAGCAGUGAGGAAUGAUAUCAGCAUGCACUAUAGCAGUUAUCGCUGUGGUAACGCCCAUAACCACGCCAGAGCACUCUGAUUAAGCAGCGAUAUCGAGAGAGUUAUUGUGUCCAGUUUCUCUUCCUUUUUUUUUCAUCGAAAGUUAUAGACAGAACACUUCAUCCCUUCCGCCACCCCGGCCUACUUCCACAAUCUGCAUAUAACUAUAACUGCCGGAGUCCACACCCCCAACGGCCCGAGCAAAAAGACAAAAUCGUUCUCUCCCUCUGAACCCACA
Molecule: small RNA, 435 nt
Filed under: Histoplasma capsulatum var. duboisii H88
Lineage: Eukaryota; Fungi; Ascomycota; Eurotiomycetes; Onygenales; Ajellomycetaceae
Description: Histoplasma capsulatum H88 hypothetical RNA
Source: RNAcentral